CCUACGGGGGGCUGCAGUGGGGAAUAUUGGACAAAGGGGGGAACCCUGAUCCAGCCAUGCCGCGUGUGUGAAGAAGGCCCUCGGGUUGUAAAGCACUUUCAGUGAGGAAGAACGCCUGGUGGUUAAUACCCAUCAGGAAAGACAUCACUCACAGAAGAAGCACCGGCUAACUCCGUGCCAGCAGCCGCGGUAAUACGGAGGGUGCGAGCGUUAAUCGGAAUUACUGGGCGUAAAGCGCGCGUAGGUGGCUUGAUAAGCCGGUUGUGAAAGCCCCGGGCUCAACCUGGGAACGGCAUCCGGAACUGUCAAGCUAGAGUGCAGGAGAGGAAGGUAGAAUUCCCGGUGUAGCGGUGAAAUGCGUAGAGAUCGGGAGGAAUACCAGUGGCGAAGGCGGCCUUCUGGACUGACACUGACACUGAGGUGCGAAAGCGUGGGUAGCAAACAGGAUUAGAUACCCGUGUAGUC
Molecule: ribosomal RNA, 465 nt
Filed under: Vreelandella stevensii
Lineage: Bacteria; Pseudomonadati; Pseudomonadota; Gammaproteobacteria; Oceanospirillales; Halomonadaceae
Description: partial 16S ribosomal RNA
Rfam family: Bacterial small subunit ribosomal RNA
Source: RNAcentral